This 65-nucleotide transfer RNA is filed under the name Loripes lacteus. RNAcentral describes it as "tRNA-Cys". Lineage: Eukaryota; Metazoa; Mollusca; Bivalvia; Lucinida; Lucinidae. The record is from RNAcentral.
UCCUAUAGUUAACCUAUAAUGCCGGUUUGCAAAACCGGAGUUGCGAUGUAUUUGUGCUAGGGUGU